GUGAACCAGCGGAGGAUCAUUA
Molecule: ribosomal RNA, 22 nt
Filed under: Sarocladium kiliense
Lineage: Eukaryota; Fungi; Ascomycota; Sordariomycetes; Hypocreales; Sarocladiaceae
Description: partial 18S ribosomal RNA
Source: RNAcentral